Molecule: ribosomal RNA, 395 nt
Filed under: uncultured bacterium
Lineage: Bacteria
Description: partial 16S ribosomal RNA
Rfam family: Bacterial small subunit ribosomal RNA
Source: RNAcentral
AUACGUAGGGUGCAAGCGUUAAUCGGAAUUACUGGGCGUAAAGCGUGCGCAGGCGGUUUUGUAAGACAGAGGUGAAAUUCCCGGGCUCAACCUGGGAACUGGCUUUGUGACUGCAAGGCUAGAGUACGGCAGAGGGGGAUGGGAUUUCGCGUGUAGCAGAGAAAUGCGUAGAUAUGCGGAGGAACACCGAUGGCGAAGGCAAUCCCCUGGGCCUGUACUGACGCUCAUGCACGAAAGCGUGGGGAGCAAACAGGAUUAGAUACCCUGGUAGUCCACGCCCUAAACGAUGUCAACUGGUUGUUGGGUCUUCAUUGACUCAGUAACGAAGCUAACGCGUGAAGUUGACCGCCUGGGGAGUACGGCCGCAAGGUUGAAACUUAAAGGAAUUGACGGGG